GGUGCUGCGCUAAGAAAAGCAGCUCUGAGAGCCACGGUUGGGAGCUGGCCUGGAUGCCCUGAUGAACGUAAGCAAUGCCGAGGAAUAUUAAAGUUAGAAUGAGUUCUCUCUCUGACAAAGAAGAAGAAAAUAAGACCACUUUAAUUCUGCAUGAACAGAUAAAAACAGACACUGUGCAAGCACAGAGAUGACCAAACAUCCCAUCUCCAGCUAACGAGAAACCAUGAAGGACAAAGGGCAGGAAUAACUGCAGGUGGUUAUCCCAAUAUUCAGAAAAGUGGGAGCAUGAAGGAAACCUUGUUAACACUUUUAGGUCAAAAACCUUGAAAUUCAACAUUAUGAACUCCUAUUAUGAAGAUAAAAAUCUCAAAGUUGUUCCAGUUUUGUAAGAUAACAUCUGGGUUUGUUUGUUGUUGUUGUUGUUGUUUUAUAAAUAAAGUAGUCAAAAUGUAC
This is a long non-coding RNA of Mustela erminea (ermine), 453 nucleotides long. RefSeq lists it as uncharacterized. The transcript is spliced from 3 exons. The record is from RefSeq and is a predicted model, not a curated record. Lineage: Eukaryota; Metazoa; Chordata; Mammalia; Carnivora; Mustelidae.